RNAcentral lists this long non-coding RNA (214 nucleotides) under Phoenix dactylifera (date palm). RNAcentral describes it as "long non-coding RNA (PDAC_LNC012314)". The record is from RNAcentral. Lineage: Eukaryota; Viridiplantae; Streptophyta; Magnoliopsida; Arecales; Arecaceae.
GUGAACACCUAAUUUUGAUGAAAUAGUAGGUUUGGCAAAGUUUGAAGACUGUUAUUCUACCCCGAAACACAGUUACUUCAAUUAUGCACACAAUAAGUUCUACUCUGCACACAGUUUCUUUGUUUCCGAACACAGGUAAAUUAACUGCGAACAUAGUUAAUUAAACUGUGCACCCAGUUAAGUGAUAUUCAAAAAAUGUUGCAUAAGAUGGCAC